AAAUUACCUCCAAUAGUUUGCUUAUCCUUUUUAAGUUCAGAAAUUUUCUUGGUUAGUUUUUCGUUAUCUUUACUUAAGGUAUGAGUUUUUUGAGUUAACAUUUGGUUGCUUGUCUUAAGUUCUAAAUUUUCUUUAGUGAUAAAAUCCUUAUCCUUAACUAUCGUAUUUAUGGAGGUGAGAUUGAUUGGUUAAUUUUAGCUCUUUAUUCUUAAGGCUUAUUGUCUUAUAUUCAUCCAUUAAUUCGUUAAACGCAUCAUAUAACUCAUCAAAUGUAAAAUCUAAAUGCGUUUCAGAUGUUACCUCAUUUUCGUUUGCCAUAAAGCAUAGAUUGGUCUUUUCUUCUUGUUCCUCCUCCGAUGAUGAAGAUGAUGUAUCGGAGUCCGAUAAGGUGGAGACGAGGACUUUCUUUUUCUUGUGCUUGCUGGCCUUCUUGAGCAAAGGACAGUCCGCUCUGAAGU
RNAcentral lists this long non-coding RNA (458 nucleotides) under Phoenix dactylifera (date palm). RNAcentral describes it as "long non-coding RNA (PDAC_LNC020503)". The record is from RNAcentral. Lineage: Eukaryota; Viridiplantae; Streptophyta; Magnoliopsida; Arecales; Arecaceae.